This 378-nucleotide unclassified non-coding RNA is filed under the name uncultured Actinomycetes bacterium. RNAcentral describes it as "uncultured actinobacterium contains 16S-23S intergenic spacer region". Lineage: Bacteria; Bacillati; Actinomycetota; Actinomycetes. The record is from RNAcentral.
UCCGAGUUGACCCCGGCAGUCUCUCACGAGUCCCCACCAUUACGUGCUGGCAACAUGAGACAAGGGUUGCGCUCGUUGCGGGACUUAACCCAACAUCUCACGACACGAGCUGACGACAGCCAUGCACCACCUGUGAGAGUGCCCCGAAGGGAGACCGUGUUUCCACGGCUGUCACUCACAUGUCAAGCCCAGGUAAGGUUCUUCGCGUUGCGUCGAAUUAAACCACAUGCUCCACUGCUUGUGCGGGUCCCUGUCAAUUCCUUUGAGUUUUAGCCUUGCGGCCGUACUCCCCAGGCAGGGCACUUAAUGCGUUAGCUGCGGCACCGGAGGGGUCGAUACCCCCGACACCUAGUGCCCACCGUUUACGGCGUGGACUAC